UGUGUUGGGCAAAGCUAUCAAGUGAA
This 26-nucleotide non-coding RNA is filed under the name Rattus norvegicus (Norway rat). The record is from RNAcentral. Lineage: Eukaryota; Metazoa; Chordata; Mammalia; Rodentia; Muridae.